Molecule: long non-coding RNA, 393 nt
Filed under: Populus tremula
Lineage: Eukaryota; Viridiplantae; Streptophyta; Magnoliopsida; Malpighiales; Salicaceae
Description: long non-coding RNA (PTRE_LNC002302)
Source: RNAcentral
CUGGGUCUCCCACGCUUAGGCUUCCGCUUCUUCCCCACUUUACCAUAUGAUUCAUCACUCUCUUGACCAGAAGAUUCUGCAGGGUCACCAUCAACCACCUCAAUACUUUUCUUCCCAGACUCAUCACUCUCCUUAGCCUUGGGGGGUCUCCCACGCUUAGGCUUCCGCUUCUUCCUCACUUUACCAUAUGAUUCAUCACUCUCUUGACCAGAAGAUUCUGCAGGGUCACCAUCAACCACCUCAAAUCUUUUCUUCCCAGACUCAUCACUCUCCUUAGCCUUGGGAGGUCUCCCACGCUUAGGCUUUAAUUUUUCACUCAUCUCAUUACCUGACAGUUCACUCUCUUCACCAGCAGAUUGAUGGCUGCCUUCUUUACCCACCUUGACUCUUUUC